GUGAAUUUCUGGGAUUUUGAAUGUACUAACUGAUUUGGAGGGUUUUUUCAUAGCAAUGCUUGUCUCUAUUCUUCGAAGUGAGGAUUUUCUAGUAGGGCUCUCUGGCAGUUUGAUAUCUUGCAGAUUAGGCAUACUGAUUACCAUACGUCUAUUAAUGAUGUUCUGUGAAUUAAAUCUUUUAGAAGCCAUUUUCUCCAUAGUAAGUCUUCU
Molecule: long non-coding RNA, 210 nt
Filed under: Gallus gallus (chicken)
Lineage: Eukaryota; Metazoa; Chordata; Aves; Galliformes; Phasianidae
Source: RNAcentral